This is a long non-coding RNA of Ixodes scapularis (black-legged tick), 286 nucleotides long. RefSeq lists it as uncharacterized. NCBI's taxonomy places the organism in Eukaryota, Metazoa, Arthropoda, Arachnida, Ixodida, Ixodidae. The transcript is spliced from 3 exons. The record is from RefSeq and is a predicted model, not a curated record.
UAGAGCCUUCGCCGGGAGCCAGGAGUGCGACCACAAGGGACACCCAAAUGAAGACUGCGAACACCAAGAAGGUCCACCCAAUGGCCUUGUGCGAAGCAGCCUAGACGAGCUGGAGAACUGGCACAUCGAGCCGAGGCCCAGCACCAGCUGCAGGCCGGCAUCGGCGUGCGGGGAACGGCGGCCGACGACGGAGCCCAAGUACCUGUACUGCCGAGCGCAGCAGACGAGAGGAGAGGAACAGCUCGAACCCUGGAGUCUCCGUGACGCUACGACGUGCCAAGGCCAA